Molecule: RNA transcript, 3315 nt
Organism: Solenopsis invicta (red fire ant)
Lineage: Eukaryota; Metazoa; Arthropoda; Insecta; Hymenoptera; Formicidae
Exons: 6
Source: RefSeq, a predicted model, not a curated record
AUUACGAUAAUGUGCCACUCGUUACAUAAUGUAACCAAAUUGUUACUUGAAAGUGAUGUUGUGUUCAGCAAAAAAAGUAGCUCAGUAAGACACUUACCGAGCUGCUUUUUUGCUGAAUUAGAUGGGUUAUAUUUAUAAGGUUAUACCGCUUUCAUUUAUUCACGGUAAACCAACUCGUUCGUAUACGCAGUAGUUAAUGAGAAUUGUUAAAAAUUUUUCACGAGUCGCAUGUAUCAGCUCGUAAGACUGAGUCGCAAGCGAUAAGUGAGCACGAUUGAGUAUGUGGCAUCGUUGGUGAGGUAGGAUUUGAGUAAAUUAAUAUUACUCGUGUAAGAUUGAGUAAAUUAAUAUUACUUGUGUAGAAUAAUCUCAGGGCGAAAAAUUAUAUUUCAGUUGCCAGGUUGACUGUCAGAAAUUUGGUCGCAGGGUUGACGGUCAACCCGGCGACCGAACAUCCCCACGACAUCUCGACGCCGUUCUAAUACUCCGAUUGGAGUUCUCGCUUCCCCGAUGUUGAGGGGAGAGGAGACCGCGAAGAACGGUUUUCCUUCUCUUUCCUGUUCCUUCUUUUGGCGAUGGGUGCUCGCCUUACAAAAAAGCAAAGAUACAUCAAAUACUACAACAUUUUGGAGCAUAAGUUUUCCCCGCAAGAGCAACAUUCCUGGAAAUUAUACAGCGGAGUUAGAGGUCGAUUAUCUUAGCUUGUCAAUCAUUUGGUUGUUUGACGCGAGUGCUCGUAUCGAGUUUGAGAUUUCUGAAUGUCUCAAUGGUAAUGUAACCAUAAAACAGGCUAAUAAAACCAUAGCGGGAGAAUUUAUCUCCUCUACAAAUGAGACAAAAUUAAUGAUAGACAUGCGUAAAGGAGAUUAUGACUUUAUAACACACAAUGCGUCGGUUCUAUCAACAUAUUGGUUUAUCGACUGCAAGUAUUACGGUCAGACAAAUGAUUUCACUUUCGCUUACAAUUUUACGAGUCCUGGGGUAACGCACGAAAUAGGAGCCUUAGUGAUCGUUUCGUACGAUCUGCCAACGACUACGAUACCUACAACAACCACGAUUGCACCUAACGUGAGCACAAUCGCUCCAAAUGCUACGGCAAAUUCGAAUGGAAAUCUUGUCACGGUUGUAACAUCACCAACAACUGUUACGACUGCAAAAUCAUCGAUAGAGUUGUCUACGACAACUGCAGUUCCGACUAAUGUGAGCGUAAUAGAUACUGUCAACAUGUCAUUGCCGUACAUUUGCUCAAACACGUCUCUCAUUCCACCGGAUCCUAACAAGACGUAUGGAUAUUUUCAAAAGAAGAUCCACGUUCGUGCUCCUGUGUCAAAUAUCUCGGUGGAAGGUACGAAUUGGAUUCAACCGUGGGACAUGCUGUCUUUGAAUGUGACCUGCAAAGGAUCGGGUCCGUUUUCCAAGUGUCUUCAAUUUCACCGUGGAAAGUACAAUGUAACGGGAAAUGAGACGUGUGAUAAUGCGGAACAAUUGCAUUCCUGCAAUUUUUCCAUUCUUCAUUAUUUCCUCGAGCCCAGUGUCUACACAAUAUUAAUCAUACUUAACAACGAAGUUAAUACACAGAUUUAUCCACUAAUGAUAAACAUUUAUAAAGUUACGACAAAGCCGCAAUUAUCUAUUAUUAUAGUACCAGUCUCUUGCUCAGUCGUUGCUGUAGUGCUGAUAGUGUUUGGAGUGGCUUAUUACAUACAAAGUAGAGCGAGAUUCACGAUAGAAGUGGCAGACUUUGACUUUGGGCAGAAUAAUCCAGAGAUGGAGUAUAAAACGUUUGCGGAACGUUUACGCGACUCGUUUAAUAAUACUGUAAGACCUGGCAACAAACGGCUAAACGUGCCCUAUUACGGCAGCAUGAAUUACUGAAAAUACGGGCUGUAUGCGAAGCUACGUGAUCUAUCUAAUCUUUCUGUUACUUUCAAUGCCGGGUAUAAACCACUCAGCAAUCCACAAACACUUCAGUGAUGCAUGAACGAGAAGUAACAUUCUUAAAAGCGACAUUAAAUUACAAUAAAAAUCUAUGAGGAACAGAGACGAGUGAUGCAUCAAGCAAAAAUGUUCAUCGGCAAGUUCAAUACUAGCAAGGAGGUAACGUGUAGUGAUUGGACAAUUUAAUAUCGUUCAAAGAUAAACAGUGAUUAUAAAAAAAAAAGUGGAAGAUGACACAGUGCUGCACGAUCAUUUCCAACAACUAGCGAACGAUGAAAUUUAGAUUAAAUUGUAUAUAUGAAAUUACAAUUAUAUAUAGGCUGUGAAUAUAGUACGCAAUGGUAUGUGUGUUCAAGGCGCUCAAAAACAUUCUGUACAGGAAAAUUUGAUAUUAUUUUAAAAUCCCGAUGGGUGUUAUCUCAACUUACAUCCCUUUUUAUGAUUUGCGUUAUCUUUUGAAUUAUCUAUUAGCAAUUGUGUGUCGUAUGAUGAAAUGCAUUAAUUCGCUGGGUCAUAGCAUUCCGAUUUGCUUAUCUUAUUUCAAAUAUAUUAGAUUGAUAAGUCUGACUACUCUUAUGAUUAGCAAAUUAAUGCACUUUACUAUGUUUCGCAUAUAUGGAAUACAAAAGUGAUGAGUGAAAAAAAACAAUACUAUAUUUUAUUAAUUUGUAACUUGUAAUUUAUACAUGCAUACAACACGCGGGUGCACAUACGUAUAUUCACGAACACGCGUAUAUAGAAAUCGCUAAUAUGAAGAGGCUUUAUUGGAAAGUAGAGUAAACUCACAUUUGUAUUAAAAAAAUUUUUUUAAUACAUAUUGUAAUUUAUAAUUUAUGAAGAAGUAAAUUUUUUAAAAAAUUUUAUUCAAGUUGUUCUAAAUGAAUUUUGUUUAUAAAUGAAGCAUAGAGGAGGGUAGGCUAAAUUGGAUCGUGUUCCAAAUAGGACCUUUUUAAUUUAAAUGAAUACAGUUAAGCAGAUUUGUGUGCGUUUAUAAUGUAAAGUCCUUAUAAGACACUGAACGUGUGACAACAGUUUAACAGUUUUUUAUCAUAACAUUCAUUGAAUAGACGCGAAUAUGUAUUUUUGUUCAUUGUGCAAAAAUUAAAAUAAAAAAAUUCUUGUAAAUCAUUCAAAAGAUACUCAAAUUUUGAAGGAUAAUUGAUUCAUGAUAAUUAAAGAAUGUAAAAUUCAAAAAUAUCAAUCAUUUUGCGAUCACUUUUGCGGUUUUGUAAAAUUUGUUCCAAAGUUCAAAAGGAUUUAUGUCCAAAUGGACUUUUACGUUCAAAUUGCAACCUGAUCGUAGCACUGGCGAUUGGCCAACCAAAUCUGAUUCUACAAAUGUUUAAUUAGUAAAGUAUUAUGUCAUCAGAUUCGGAA